GCAGCCAGCUCUGUGCGGAUCCCUGCCCCAACGGGUGAGUAACACGUGAGUUACCUGCCCCCGACUCUGGGAUAACUGCUAGAAAUGGUAGCUAAUACCGGAUAUGACGACUGGCCGCAUGGUCUGGUCGUGGAAAGAAUUUCGGUUGGGGAUGGACUCGCGGCCUAUCAGGUUGUUGGUGAGGUAAUGGCUCACCAAGCCUACGACGGGUAGCCGGCCUGAGAGGGUGACCGGCCACACUGGGACUGAGACACGGCCCAGACUCCUACGGGAGGCAGCAGUGGGGAAUAUUGCACAAUGGGCGCAAGCCUGAUGCAGCAACGCCGCGUGAGGGAUGACGGCCUUCGGGUUGUAAACCUCUUUUAGUAGGGAAGAAGCGAAAGUGACGGUACCUGCAGAAAAAGCACCGGCUAACUACGUGCCAGCAGCCGCGGUAAUACGUAGGGUGCAAGCGUUGUCCGGAAUUAUUGGGCGUAAAGAGCUCGUAGGCGGUUUGUCGCGUCUGCUGUGAAAUCCCGAGGCUCAACCUCGGGUCUGCAGUGGGUACGGGCAGACUAGAGUGCGGUAGGGGAGAUUGGAAUUCCUGGUGUAGCGGUGGAAUGCGCAGAUAUCAGGAGGAACACCGAUGGCGAAGGCAGAUCUCUGGGCCGUAACUGACGCUGAGGAGCGAAAGCAUGGGGAGCGAACAGGAUUAGAUACCCUGGUAAGUCAUGCCGUAACC
Molecule: ribosomal RNA, 721 nt
Filed under: Clavibacter sp. 73ND15
Lineage: Bacteria; Bacillati; Actinomycetota; Actinomycetes; Micrococcales; Microbacteriaceae
Description: bacterial SSU rRNA
Rfam family: Bacterial small subunit ribosomal RNA
Source: RNAcentral